UACGUAGGGGGCAAGCGUUGUCCGGAAUUAUUGGGCGUAAAGAGCUCGUAGGCGGUUUGUCGCGUCUGCUGUGAAAACGCGAGGCUCAACCUCGCGCCUGCAGUGGGUACGGGCAGACUAGAGUGUGGUAGGGGGAGAUUGGAAUUCCUGGUGUAGCGGUGGAAUGCGCAGAUAUCAGGAGGAACACCGAUGGCGAAGGCAGAUCUCUGGGCCGUUACUGACGCUGAGGAGCGAAAGCGUGGGGAGCGAACAGG
This 254-nucleotide ribosomal RNA is filed under the name uncultured bacterium. Its description in RNAcentral is "partial 16S ribosomal RNA". It matches the Rfam family "Bacterial small subunit ribosomal RNA", at positions 524 to 776 of the family's 1533-position model. The record is from RNAcentral.